This 398-nucleotide RNase P RNA is filed under the name Ferruginibacter sp. Its description in RNAcentral is "RNase P RNA component class A". It matches the Rfam family "Bacterial RNase P class A". Rfam says of the family: Ribonuclease P (RNase P) is a ubiquitous endoribonuclease, found in archaea, bacteria and eukarya as well as chloroplasts and mitochondria. Its best characterised activity is the generation of mature 5'-ends of tRNAs by cleaving the 5'-leader elements of precursor-tRNAs. Lineage: Bacteria; Pseudomonadati; Bacteroidota; Chitinophagia; Chitinophagales; Chitinophagaceae. The record is from RNAcentral.
UCUAUCAGCCGGCUAUCGUUCCGAUCUUGUAUCGGGAAGGAAAGUCCGGACAGCAAAGGGCAACAUACCGGUUAAGAGCCGGCUUUGUAAGGUUUCGUGGAGACACGAACCAUGCAAAAGAGAAAGUGCCACAGAAAAUAACUGCCUUUCCCUCUCUUUUGGAGAGGACAGGGUGAGGUUGAAAACGUGAGGUAAGAGCUCACGGUCUCGUUAGGUAACUAACGACACGGGUAAACCUUAUGUGCUGUAAUGCCACGUAUACCAGCGUUUGAGGGCGGCCCGCCCGAGUUGGAGGGUAGGCAGCAAGAUCCUCACAGCAAUGUGUGGACCAGAUAAAUGAUGGCCGUUCCCGCAGUAUUGCGGGGAUAACAGAAUCCGGCUUAUGGCUGAUAGAUUUU